This 2057-nucleotide unclassified non-coding RNA is filed under the name uncultured fungus. RNAcentral describes it as "sequence contains 18S rRNA gene, ITS1, 5.8S rRNA gene, ITS2, 28S rRNA gene". The stretch from base 889 to 2057 matches the Rfam family "Eukaryotic large subunit ribosomal RNA", at positions 1 to 961 of the family's 3401-position model. The record is from RNAcentral. Lineage: Eukaryota; Fungi.
GGAAGGAUCAUUACCGAAGCUAGCGCUGACAGCGCAACGCUAAACACAUUGCCGCCGCUCGGGUAUCGAAAGCGUCGGGCGCUUAUCGCACGGGGUGAAACUCGAUAGAUAAGCGGUCGAUGCGGCGAUGGCUGUUCCUGUUGCUCGGAACAUCCGUCGUUAACUGGUGUACGCGUUCGGGUGCCUAUAGCCGUAGGCUUAAAGAAUCGUCGCUCUCUGCGAUCGCCCGGAUGUCUUUUAGCGACGUAAGCGAUAUUUGCUGGGUACCUUUUUCGACGGUGACGACGUUGCCGCCGAUUGGAGCACUGACCUAAGCCAGGUUUGAAGAAUCGACCGAGUUCGAUCGCCCAAGCUUACGCCGCAACCCGUUUAUCAACACUGUUUACUUCGAUUGUUAGCUAUUACGUUUCUCGGUCGAUGCCUGGCCGGAAGCGUUUGUGAAAUGACUUUGAUAACUCUAAGCGGUGGAUCACUCGGCUCGUGUGUCGAUGAAGAGCGCAGCAGCUGCGUGAAUUAAUGUGAAUUGCAGGACACAUUGAACAUCGAUAUCUUGAACGCAUAUUGCGGCCUCGGGCAUUCCCGAGGCCACGCCUGUCUCAGGGUCGGUUAAAAGUCAAUCGCGAUCCAACACCUUCGCAGACUGCGUUGGAAACGGAUAGCGCAAUGGGCGUCAAAGUAGCAAAGAACGUCGAUCAGUCGUCGUCGAUUGGUUGCCGUCUUUCGUCUUCGUCGCCUCAAGAUUAGACCCGUUCGUUGCUCGUCGUCGACUUAGCCUCGUUGACGCCCGGACGACAACUCUACUCUAUGCCGUUGAGGAGCAGUAAAGUCGUUCUGGCGCGGCGUCGCUAAAGUCGAAUCAGCGCAGCGCAAAACACAACUUCGACUAUUCGACCUGAGAUCAGACGAGAUUACCCGCUGAAUUUAAGCAUAUUAAUAAGCGGAGGAAAAGAAACUAACAAGGAUUCCCUUAGUAACGGCGAGUGAAGCGGGAAAAGCCCAGCACCGAAUCCGCCGCCGUUUUCGGUGGCCGGAACUGUGGUGUUAAGGACAGCCUAUGGGGAUCGGCCGGGAGUCUGAGUCCUCCUGAUCGGGGCUUCACCCAGAGCGGGUGUCAGGCCUCUACGACGCCUGGUCGGUUCUCUAAGGUCGUCCUACGAGUCGGGUUGUUUGAGAUUGCAGCCCAAAGCGGGUGGUAAACUCCAUCUAAGGCUAAAUACAGACACGAGUCCGAUAGCGCACAAGUACCGUGAGGGAAAGUUGAAAAGAACUUUGAAGAGAGAGUUCAACAGUACGUGAAACCGUCUAGAGGCAAACGGAGAGGACCGCAAAGUCCGCGCGUCGGAUUCAACUCGCAGGUCGUUGGGCGGCGUCGUCGUCGACAUGUCUCGUGGCAGUCGCGGCGGCGUCGUACCCUUCGGCGGCGGGCGCACUUUCGGCGUGCGGAGCGCCACGACCGGUUCGCUGGCGGUCAGAAGCAUUCGGAGAAGGUGGCCCUCGCUUCGGCGGCGGUGUUAUAGAUCCGGAUAGCGUUGGCCCGUCGGCGGACCGAGGAAGACAUUAUUGCGCGGUUGGCUUCGGGCCUUGUCUCUGUUCGAUCGACCGACUUGGGGGGACUGUCGCCAGUGUCCUCAGACCGCGGUCGUUCAGCAGGCGGGUGUCUCGAAGUCGUACCUGGCGUCGGUGGCGAAUCGGUCGGUCACCUGUCCGACCCGUCUUGAAACACGGACCAAGGAGUCUAACAUGUGCGCGAGUCAUUGGGCACGUACGAAACCCAGAGGCGUAAUGAAAGUAAAGGCCCACCUCUCGGUAGGCCCAGGUAGGAUCCGAGCGUCGGCAACGGCGCGCGGCGCACUACCGGCCCGUCUUAACCGCAGCGUCGGUGAGGCGGCGCUAGAGCGUACACGUUGGGACCCGAAAGAUGGUGAACUAUGCCCGAGUAGGACGAAGCCAGAGGAAACUCUGGUGGAGGUCCGCAGCGAUUCUGACGUGCAAAUCGAUCGUCAAACUCGGGUAUAGGGGCGAAAGACUAAUCGAACCAUCUAGUAGCUGGUUCCUGU